RNAcentral lists this ribosomal RNA (440 nucleotides) under uncultured bacterium. RNAcentral's name for it is "partial 16S ribosomal RNA". It matches the Rfam family "Bacterial small subunit ribosomal RNA", at positions 338 to 795 of the family's 1533-position model. The record is from RNAcentral.
CCUACGGGAGGCAGCAGUAGGGAAUAUUGCUCAAUGGGGGAAACCCUGAAGCAGCAACGCCGCGUGGAGGAUGCAGGUUUUCGGAUUGUAAACUCCUUUUGUUAGAGAAGAUAAUGACGGUAUCUAACGAAUAAGCACCGGCUAACUCCGUGCCAGCAGCCGCGGUAAUACGGAGGGUGCAAGCGUUACUCGGAAUCACUGGGCGGAAAGAGCGCGUAGGCGGGAUAGCAAGUCAGAUGUGAAAUCCUAUGGCUUAACCAUAGAACUGCAUUUGAAACUGUUAUUCUAGAGUAUGGGAGAGGUAGGUGGAAUUCUUGGUGGAGGGGUAAAAUCCGUAGAGAUCAAGAGGAAUACUCAUUGCGAAGGCGACCUGCUAGAACAUAACUGACGCUGAUGCGCGAAAGCGUGGGGAGCAAACAGGAUUAGAUACCCGGGUAGUC